AGCGGGAAAAGCUCAAAUUUGAAAUCUGGCAGUCUCUGGCUGUCCGAGUUGUAAUCUAGAGAAGUGUUACCCGCGCUGGWCCGUGUACAAGUCUCCUGGAAUGGGGCGUCAUAGAGGGUGAGAAUCCCGUCUCUGACACGGACUACCAGGGCUUUGUGGUAUGCUCUCGAAGAGUCGAGUUGUUUGGGAAUGCAGCUCAAAAUGGGUGGUAAAUUCCAUCUAAAGCUAAAUAUUGGCGAGAGACCGAUAGCGAACAAGUACCGUGAGGGAAAGAUGAAAAGAACUUUGGAAAGAGAGUUAAACAGUACGUGAAAUUGCUGAAAGGGAAACGCUUGAAGUCAGUCACGUUGGCCAGGGAUCAGCCUUGCAUUGCAUGGUGUACUUCCUGGUUGAUGGGUCAGCAUCAAUUUUGACCAUUGGAAAAAGGCUUGGGGAAUGUGGCAGCUCCGGCUGUGUUAUAGCCCCUUGUCAUAUACAAUGGUUGGGAUUGAGGAACUCAGCACGCCGCAAGGCCGGGUUUCGACCACGUUCGUGCUUAGGAUGCUGGCAUAAUGGCUUUAAGCGACCCGUCUUGAAACACGGACCAAGGAGUCUAACAUGCCUGCGAGUAUUUGGGUGGAAAACCCAAGUGCGUAAUGAAAGUGAAAGUUGAGAUCCCUGUCGUGGGGAGCAUCGACGCCCGGACCAGAACUUUUGGGACGGAUCCGCGGUAGAGCAUGUAUGUUGGGACCCGAAAGAUGGUGAACUAUGCCUGAAUAGGGUGAAGCCAGAGGAAACUCUGGUGGAGGCUCGUAGCGAUUCUGACG
Molecule: ribosomal RNA, 806 nt
Filed under: Lepiota kammala
Lineage: Eukaryota; Fungi; Basidiomycota; Agaricomycetes; Agaricales; Agaricaceae
Description: partial large subunit ribosomal RNA
Source: RNAcentral